This 256-nucleotide ribosomal RNA is filed under the name uncultured bacterium. Its description in RNAcentral is "partial 16S ribosomal RNA". It matches the Rfam family "Bacterial small subunit ribosomal RNA", at positions 77 to 334 of the family's 1533-position model. The record is from RNAcentral.
CCUUCGGGAGUGAGUAGAGUGGCGAACGGGUGAGUAACGCGUAGGAAUCUACCCAAGAGUGGGGGACAACCCGGAGAAAUCCGGGCUAAUACCGCAUACGCCCUACGGGGUAAAGUGGGGGACCUUUCGGGGCCUCACGCUUUUGGAUGAGCCUGCGUCGGAUUAGCUAGUUGGUGGGGUAACGGCCUACCAAGGCAACGAUCCGUAGCUGGUUUGAGAGGAUGACCAGCCACACUGGGACUGAGACACGGCCCAG